RNAcentral lists this ribosomal RNA (301 nucleotides) under uncultured bacterium. RNAcentral's name for it is "partial 16S ribosomal RNA". It matches the Rfam family "Bacterial small subunit ribosomal RNA", at positions 509 to 807 of the family's 1533-position model. The record is from RNAcentral.
CAGCAGCCGCGGGAAUACGGAAGGUCCGGGCGUUAUCCGGAUUUAUUGGGUUUAAAGGGAGCGUAGGCCGCCCCUUAAGCGUGUUGUGAAAUGCGGGUGCUCAACAUCCGACUUGCAGCGCGAACUGGGGGGCUUGAGUGCGCCGAAAGUAGGCGGAAUUCGUGGUGUAGCGGUGAAAUGCUUAGAUAUCACGAAGAACUCCGAUUGCGAAGGCAGCUUACUGUAGCGCAACUGACGCUGAUGCUCGAAAGCGUGGGUAUCGAACAGGAUUAGAUACCCCCGUAGUCCCUGUCUCUUAUAC